UCGUAAGUAUACUUCCAUUCUUUAACGAAUGAAAAAACAUUAUCUGAAAGCUGUCUUCCUGGAACAAAAAUGCACAUAUUUUCCAUCUUUAACACACAACCAAUGAAUAGACAGUAACCAGGAUUAAAUAUCAGCAAGAGAGGCUCUUUAGUUAUAUAGUCAUUCAAUUUUUCAAAUAAGCGAGAAACUUAUUAUUAAUAUCUUUUCCUACUUUGCAGUUACCUAUGUUUAUGAAUGAGGUAUUAAGGUUGUACCCGCCACUGGUUGAGCUAUCUAGAUUUCUUGAAGAAGAGAUCAAAUUAGGAGAAUACACAUUACCAGCUGAUAUACAAGUCAUUAUGCCCACAAUUUUAGUUCAUCGUGAUCCUGAAUUCUGGGGUGAAGAUGCAAACGAGUUUAAGCCAGAAAGAUUCGCCGAAGGAGUGCUAAAAGCAACCAAUGGGCAAGCUGUAUUUUUCCCCUUUGCCUGGGGACCCCGUAUCUGCAUUGGUUAUAACAUGGCAUUGUUGCAAGUUAAAUUAGUAUUGGCAGACCUUUUGCGCAAUUUCUCGUUUGAGAUUUCACCUACUUAUGAACACGCUCCACGUGUGGUUUUCACCCAACAACCUCAAUAUGGAGCUCCCAUCAUUCUGCGUAACCUCAACUGAAGUCUCCAAUAAUUAAAUCUACUUAUCGUAUGUUGUUAUGCAUUCUCUCUGUCGUCAUUCAAUAAACAUUGAGUUGUGUUCUGUUUCGUUAACUUCUAUAUUAAUUCCUCCUGCAAUGGAAUGUUUUCUACUUUGUUUUGGUACUAGUGGAGCUCCGUGUUGUAAUAAAUUAGAAUUGUAAUAAUAUCAUUUGAUCUGGUUUAGUACGAUAGCUAUAUUCAUAAAACAAUUAUAUACUGAAACCAUAAGUUGGAUUCAAUAGCUAUUAUUUAUGUUGUAUGGAAGUUUCGAGAAAUCUUGAAUCCGACCUCGUAAAAAUCAUCAACCCAACACCACCUAGCAUCGGCUCAACCCACACCCUUCCUUCACUUUGAUUGCCUCAAGUUUUCUCGCUCACAAAAGAUAACAGUGGUGGUGACUACAAUACAAACGAAAGGAUGAAGCAACACUGAUUGAAUCUCUCAAGAAAUCACCCCAAAACCGGUUGCCCCCUUCACUCCUCUCUCAAUAGCACGCACACGACCCCACCACCUCUAGAAGAAAUGGUCACAUAUAAAGGACUCACCAACUUGGGCCAAAUUUCAUUAAACGUGCUAUCACUUACAUACCAAUAAAUGGGCUUUCAUAUCACCAUCCAACUAAACCAAUAAAUCCAACUACAAUUCGGGCCAUCCAAAAGUGUAGGUCAUUUCUGGGUUGAGCCUAAUCUAUAGUGUCAAUAAAUUAUUCGACAUUUGUUUUAAAUUAUAGCUCAGAUUUAUUAGGUUAUCAAAACCUAACAAAUCUUAACAUUGAUACCUAAUUCACCUGUAAGUAAACAAAAUACAAAGUUUAUGCAUGCAUAAUCAAGGUAACAAAAUAAAUUGUUAUCACUGACCAUACCUCAUGUCCCGGACCCUAAGCCUACAACAUACUUGUUCCAUAUACUCACCAUGACUAAGAUCAAAAAACACCCAAGUAGAAGUAAGUAAUCAAUCAAGAGUAUAUAAACAUGCGAUGAAUAUAAAACAUAGAAUAACACAGACUUUUCAAAACAUGUUCACAAAGAACCUCGGAUUAAUACCACGUUAAUUAAUCAAAUGGCCACACUUACGCAACAAAUGCAUAAAUGGCAUAAAAAAAAAAGAUCUUACCACACUUAUCCUAUCUUAUUCCGUGUAGGUUGAAUAUCGAGAAUGCAUAUCUCCUCUUAUUGCUCCACCGUGCUCACUAGAUUGGUCACUAACGCAUGUCUAACUAGUAAACCACUAUAGAUCCCAAGUCUAUGAGAUAGUUCUCUAUCUCUACCUCCUUUCUCUCAACUCAAGUAGAUAUUGGAUCUCCACCUAAUAGAAGUGACAUAAGUGUCUCUCUCACACUCUAUCUGAUCAAGAUCUUCAUAGAGAAGAUUCCAACAUUUAAUCACUCUCUACUUGUGAUCCAAAUGUCCUACUUCACAUCCCUCAGUAUAUAGCACCAAUGCACACUCGGCAUCAAUAAUCUACAUUAGCAGGAGACAUACUCAUUGCUAAUGCAUCUCAAACUCACUAUGGCAAAUCGACACCUUUGAAUGAGGUAUUAAGGUUGUACCCGCCACUGGUUGAGCUAUCUAGAUUUCUUGAAGAAGAGAUCAAAUUAGGAGAAUACACAUUACCAGCUGAUAUACAAGUCAUUAUGCCCACAAUUUUAGUUCAUCGUGAUCCUGAAUUCUGGGGUGAAGAUGCAAACGAGUUUAAGCCAGAAAGAUUCGCCGAAGGAGUGCUAAAAGCAACCAAUGGGCAAGCUGUCUUUUUCCCCUUUGCCUGGGGACCCCGUAUCUGCAUUGGUUAUAACAUGGCAUUGUUGCAAGUUAAAUUAGUAUUGGCAGACCUUUUGCGCAAUUUCUCGUUUGAGAUUUCACCUACUUAUGAACACGCUCCACGUGUGGUUUUCACCCAACAACCUCAAUAUGGAGCUCCCAUCAUUCUGCGUAACCUCAACUGAAGUCUCCAAUAAUUAAAUCUACUUAUCGUAUGUUGUUAUGCAUUCUCUCUGUCGUCAUUCAAUAAACAUUGAGUUGUGUUCUGUUUCGUUAACUUCUAUAUUAAUUCCUCCUGUAAUGGAAUGUUUUCUACUUUGUUUUGGUACUAGUGGAGCUCCGUG
This 2768-nucleotide long non-coding RNA is filed under the name Olea europaea (common olive). RNAcentral's name for it is "long non-coding RNA (OEUR_LNC002185)". The record is from RNAcentral. Lineage: Eukaryota; Viridiplantae; Streptophyta; Magnoliopsida; Lamiales; Oleaceae.